AACGUACGCUGGCGGCACGCCUAACACAUGCAAGUCGAACGNAGUAGCAAUACUUUAGUGGCAGACGGGUGAGUAACAUGUAGGGUAUNUNCCCUUUGGCCUGGAAUAACACGAGGAAACUUGUGCUAAUACCGGAUAAGUCUUUACGGAGAAANCUUUAUGCACCAUUGGAGGAGCCUGCACUAGAUUAGUUUGUUGGUGGGGUAAUGGCCUACCAAGACUGUGAUCUAUAGCUGAUUUGAGAGGAUGAUCAGCCACAUUGGGACUGAGACACGGCCCAAACUCCUACGGGAGGCAGCAGUGGGGAAUCUUGCACAAUGGAGGAAACUCUGAUGCAGCGAUGCCGCGUGAGUGAAGAAGGCCUUUGGGUUGUAAAGCUCUUUCGUCGGGGAAGAAAAUGACUGUACCCGAAUAAGAAGGUCCGGCUAACUUCGUGCCAGCAGCCGCGGUAAUACGAAGGGACCUAGCGUAGUUCGGAUUUACUGGGCUUAAAGAGUUCGUAGGUGGUUGAAAAAGUUGGUGGUGAAAUCCCAGAGCUUAACUCUGGAACUGCCAUCAAAACUUUUCAGCUAGAGUAUGAUAGAGGAAAGCAGAAUUUCUAGUGUAGANNUGAAAUUCGUAGAUAUUAGAAAGAAUACCAAUUGCGAAGGCAGCUUUC
RNAcentral lists this ribosomal RNA (658 nucleotides) under bacterium IMCC11701. RNAcentral describes it as "bacterial SSU rRNA". It matches the Rfam family "Bacterial small subunit ribosomal RNA", at positions 28 to 729 of the family's 1533-position model. The record is from RNAcentral.